Molecule: long non-coding RNA, 292 nt
Filed under: Homo sapiens (human)
Lineage: Eukaryota; Metazoa; Chordata; Mammalia; Primates; Hominidae
Description: HSALNT0217751
Source: RNAcentral
AGUUAAGAUGAGAAAUGCUGACCCGAAAGGAAGAAGCAGAGGCGAAAUGAAUGAAGCUGCCUGACGAGGAGCUGUACGGAAAUAAGAGUAAUUCAGUGAUGGGGUCCAAGCAUCCUGAAUAUAAGCGGUCCAUGUCAAGAAAGAGCCAAAGGGCGUCCUCAGGACAUGGAAGAGGGGCAUUCCAGGCUGGCAGCUGGGGAGGCCCAGAGAGCCCUGGAGAAGAUCUGAAGUCCAUUGCAGAGCUUUCUUUAAGACUACUGAAUUGUACAGAAGAAGCAGAAAUGAAAAAAAA